Molecule: ribosomal RNA, 484 nt
Filed under: uncultured bacterium
Lineage: Bacteria
Description: partial 16S ribosomal RNA
Rfam family: Bacterial small subunit ribosomal RNA
Source: RNAcentral
GACGAACGCUGGCGGCGUGCUUAACACAUGCAAGUCGAACGAUGAAGCUAGAGCUUGCUCUGGUGGAUUAGUGGCGAACGGGUGAGUAACACGUGAGUAACCUGCCCCGAACUCUGGGAUAACUGCUGGAAACGGUAGCUAAUACCGGAUAUGACCAAUGAAGGCAUCUUCUGUUGGUGGAAAGAAUUUCGGUUCGGGAUGGACUCGCGGCCUAUCAGCUUGUUGGUGGGGUAACGGCUCACCAAGGCGACGACGGGUAGCCGGCCUGAGAGGGUGAUCGGCCACACGGGGACUGAGACACGGCCCAGACUCCUACGGGAGGCAGCAGUGGGGAAUAUUGCACAAUGGGCGCAAGCCUGAUGCAGCAACGCCGCGUGAGGGACGACGGCCUUCGGGUUGUAAACCUCUUUUAGUAGGGAAGAAGCGAAAGUGACGGUGCCUGCAGAAAAAGCACCGGCUAACUACGUGCCAGCCGCCGCCGUAA